UGUGUGUAGCUCAGUGGUAGAGCAUUUGCCUAGUAUGUUUGAGGCCCUGGGUUUGAACCCCACCACCACAA
RNAcentral lists this transfer RNA (71 nucleotides) under Heterocephalus glaber (naked mole-rat). It matches the Rfam family "tRNA". Rfam says of the family: Transfer RNA (tRNA) molecules are approximately 80 nucleotides in length. Their secondary structure includes four short double-helical elements and three loops (D, anti-codon, and T loops). The record is from Rfam by way of RNAcentral. Lineage: Eukaryota; Metazoa; Chordata; Mammalia; Rodentia; Bathyergidae.